This 608-nucleotide ribosomal RNA is filed under the name Hemisphaericaspora elongata. RNAcentral describes it as "Spathaspora elongata partial large subunit ribosomal RNA". It matches the Rfam family "Eukaryotic large subunit ribosomal RNA", at positions 46 to 664 of the family's 3401-position model. The record is from RNAcentral. Lineage: Eukaryota; Fungi; Ascomycota; Pichiomycetes; Serinales; Debaryomycetaceae.
UCAUACGGAGGAAAAGGAAACCAACAGGGAUUGCCUUAGUAGCGGCGAGUGAAGCGGCAAAAGCUCAAAUUUGAAAUCUGGCGUAUUCUGCGUCCGAGUUGUAAUUUGAAGAAGGAUACUUUGGGGUUGGCUCUUGUCUAUGUUUCUUGGAACAGAACGUCACAGAGGGUGAGAAUCCCGUGCGAUGAGAAGCCCAAUUCCGUGUAAAGUGCCUUCGAAGAGUCGAGUUGUUUGGGAAUGCAGCUCUAAGUGGGUGGUAAAUUCCAUCUAAAGCUAAAUAUUGGCGAGAGACCGAUAGCGAACAAGUACAGUGAUGGAAAGAUGAAAAGAACUUUGAAAAGAGAGUGAAAAAGUACGUGAAAUUGUUGAAAGGGAAGGGCUUGAGAUCAGACUUGGUAUUUUGUAUGUCUUGCUUUCGGGUGGGGCCUCUGCAGUUUACUGGGCCAGCAUCGGUUCGGGUGGUAGGACAAUUGCGAAGGAACGUGGCACUGCUUCGGUGGUGUGUUAUAGCCUUUGUGGAUACUGCCUGUCUGGACCGAGGACUGCGUCAUUUGACUAGGAUGCUGGCAUAAUGAUCUUAAGUCGCCCGUCUUGAACACACGACCACA